This is a long non-coding RNA of Hyla sarda, 440 nucleotides long. RefSeq lists it as uncharacterized. The record is from RefSeq and is a predicted model, not a curated record. The transcript has 3 exons. Lineage: Eukaryota; Metazoa; Chordata; Amphibia; Anura; Hylidae.
GGAGCAGGCCCGCUGUGUGUAUACAGGCCCGGACACCACCAGUAUGGAAAACUUACCUGCCCAGUGCCCACUGCUCAUGCUGCCCUUUUAAAGUUGUGAAUGCAAAACACACUGAAGAGACUGCAGCCGGCGCGCACCUCCUUGUACAGCUUACGGUGACAUCAUCACAAGCAUGUGUGACAUCACAGGGUUCUAAACCAUCUUCAGGUCUUGCAGCAGGGGGACGCAGUCCUGGGCCUCUCCUCGGCUGCACCUGGUUGAACUACAAAUCCUGCACCUGUGUACGCUCGUGGCGGCUCUGCACCAUGCUCUCCAUUCACUGCAUACAGUUCUGCUCCCUGAAGUCUAUUCACUGCAGAUGGCUCUGCACCCCGCACUCCAUUCACUGCAGGUGGCUGAGAGUAAUGUUUUCUGGGUGCACUGUCUGCUGCAGUCUACAU